GUGCUCACUUCAGCAGCACAUAUGCUGAAACUGAAACAAUACAAGGAAGAUGGUUAUGGUCCCUGUGCAAGGCUGAAAUGUAAAUUUAAAAAAAUUGUCUAUUAGGUUUUU
Molecule: small nuclear RNA, 111 nt
Organism: Chionomys nivalis (European snow vole)
Lineage: Eukaryota; Metazoa; Chordata; Mammalia; Rodentia; Cricetidae
Source: RefSeq, a predicted model, not a curated record